AAACAGGGGGGUUGGCCUAUUAUAUGGCUUCUAGAGAAAAAUAAUGAGGGAUGUCACGGGGUAUGUCUAUAUAGGUCUUGUAGGAGAGAAACAGGCGCAUCUUUUGCGCAAGGUAUCGAAGGGCGCUAUGUUCAAAAAUCUGAAACUAGAGCUAAAAUUUGAAAAAAAAUGUUAAAAACAGGGGGGUUGGCCUAUUCCAUGGCUUCUACAGAAAAAUAAUGAGGGGUGUCACGGGGUAUGACAAUAUAGGUCUUGUAGAAGAGAAACAGGCGCAUCUCUUGCGCAAGGUUUCGAAAGGCGCUAUGUUCAAAAAUCUGAAACUAGAGCUCAAAAUUUGAAAAAAAAGUGUUAAAAACAGGGGGUUGGCCUAUUCCAUGGCUUCUAGAGAAAAAUAAUGAGGGAUGUCUCGGGGUAUGUCUAUAUAGGUCUUGUAGAGGAGAAACAGGCGCAUCUUUUGCGCAAGGUAUCGAAGGGCGCUAUGUUCAAAAAUCUGAAACUAGAGCUCAAAAUUUGAAAAAAAUUGUUAAAAACAGGGGGGUUGGCCUAUUCUAUGGCUUCUAGAGAAAAAUAAUGAGGGAUGUCACGGGGUAUGACUAUAUAGGUCUUGUAGAAGAGAAACAGGCGCAUCUUUUGCGCAAGGUAUCGAAGGGCGCUAUGUUAAAAAAUCUGAAACUAGAGCUCAAAAUUUGAAAAAAAUUGUUAAAAACAGGGGGGUUGGCCUAUUCCUUGGUUUCUAGAGAAAAAUAAUGAGGGGUGUCACGGGGUAUGACUAUAUAGGUCUUGUAGAAGAGAAACAGGCACAUCUUUUGCGCAAGGUAUCGAAGGGCGCUAUGUUCAAAAAUCUGAAACUAGAGCUCAAAAUUUGAAAACAAAUUGUUAAAAACAGGGGGGUUGGCCUAUUCCAUGGCUUGUAGAGAAAAAUAACGAGGGGUGUCACGGGGUAUGACUAUAUAGGUUUUGUAGAGGAGAAACAG
Long non-coding RNA from Mytilus californianus (California mussel), 974 nucleotides. RefSeq lists it as uncharacterized. NCBI's taxonomy places the organism in Eukaryota, Metazoa, Mollusca, Bivalvia, Mytilida, Mytilidae. The transcript has 3 exons. The record is from RefSeq and is a predicted model, not a curated record.